AGAAUUAAGGUGUAUCCAUUAAAUAAGCAAAACUUCCAUGACUACAUUGACUCAUUUAUUCAGACAUAAAAGCAUCAGAAUCCCCAAAUGUGAUUAGGAGACAUACAAGUAUUAGCACUUCUCUACAAUGUCACAAUGACAUUGUUUUAACAUUAACAUGAUCUAAUCUCAUAGUUAAAAACCUAUAGGCUUUGGAAAAUCACUAAUUUGACAUCUCUAGUGAUGUUGACCAUCUGGCCCUCCAGGGGAAACUCUCUCCGGCUUUCCAUCUAGCAUUGCCCUCUUCCGCAGCCACUCACUAUUUUUUACCUCGUUAAUUACUUCACGCAACCCAAAUUUGCUAUGGAUCACUUUUAUCUUUGUUGAUAACAACAUAGGCACAAGUCUUGCCUCUGUUCUCAUUACAAGCAAUGUCAAAAAAAUUAGGAAGAUAACAAAUUCUCUUGACUUGGUUGAAGUAGCCAUUAAUUCUCUUACAAGUAACUAACUAGCUUAAUUAUUUUACAAAACAUCAAC
This 516-nucleotide long non-coding RNA is filed under the name Cicer arietinum (chickpea). RNAcentral describes it as "long non-coding RNA (CARI_LNC002356)". The record is from RNAcentral. Lineage: Eukaryota; Viridiplantae; Streptophyta; Magnoliopsida; Fabales; Fabaceae.